UAAGGAAUAUUGGACAAUGGGCGGAAGCCUGAUCCAGCCAUGCCGCGUGAAGGAAGAAGGCGCUCAGCGUUGUAAACUUCUUUUGGACGGGAACAAAGGCAUCUCUGCGGAGGUGUUUGAGGGUACUGUCAGAAUAAGCACCGGCUAACUCCGUGCCAGCAGCCGCGGUAAUACGGAGGGUGCAAGCGUUAUCCGGAAUCACUGGGUUUAAAGGGUGCGUAGGCGGUUUGUUAAGUCAGUUGUGAAAUUC
This 250-nucleotide ribosomal RNA is filed under the name uncultured bacterium. RNAcentral describes it as "partial 16S ribosomal RNA". It matches the Rfam family "Bacterial small subunit ribosomal RNA", at positions 355 to 602 of the family's 1533-position model. The record is from RNAcentral.